RNAcentral lists this ribosomal RNA (497 nucleotides) under uncultured bacterium. RNAcentral's name for it is "partial 16S ribosomal RNA". It matches the Rfam family "Bacterial small subunit ribosomal RNA", at positions 28 to 507 of the family's 1533-position model. The record is from RNAcentral.
GAUGAACGCUGGCGGCGUGCCUAAUACAUGCCAGUCGAGCGAACGUACGAGAAGCUUGCUUCUCUGAUGUUAGCGGCGGACGGGUGAGUAACACGUGGAUAACCUACCUAUAAGACUGGGAUAACUUCGGGAAACCGGAGCUAAUACCGGAUAAUAUUUUGAACCGCAUGGUUCAAAAGUGAAAGACGGUCUUGCUGUCACUUAUAGAUGGAUCCGCGCUGCAUUAGCUAGUUGGUAAGGUAACGGCUUACCAAGGCAACGAUGCAUAGCCGACCUGAGAGGGUGAUCGGCCACACUGGAACUGAGACACGGUCCAGACUCCUACGGGAGGCAGCAGUAGGGAAUCUUCCGCAAUGGGCGAAAGCCUGACGGAGCAACGCCGCGUGAGUGAUGAAGGUCUUCGGAUCGUAAAACUCUGUUAUUAGGGAAGAACAUAUGUGUAAGUAACUGUGCACAUCUUGACGGUACCUAAUCAGAAAGCCACGGCUAACUACGUG